Paramuricea clavata is the source of this 1099-nucleotide non-coding RNA. NCBI's taxonomy places the organism in Eukaryota, Metazoa, Cnidaria, Anthozoa, Malacalcyonacea, Plexauridae. The record is from the annotation of a GenBank genome assembly.
GGGACAUAUGUUUACAAUAAAUUGUAUAUUAUUUGCAACCUUAUAAAUCAGGUUCUGCUCUCAGGGUACAAUCCCUAAUAUUAUUAAGAUGUGACAUAAGUAAGUAUAAAGAUGUGAAUAAGUACUAAAGUAUAAUUUAUAUAUUUUAUAAUACAUUCAUAUUUUAUAAUAAAUUAAUGAAAAUUUAAUAAGUAUAUACAAAUUUUUGUGCAACAAAUUGUUAUAUCCCAAUGGCAAUGUUGACCAUUCCAUGUACAGUAUUAUAUAUUUUAUACCCUCACUUUAUCUCCCAGGUAAUUUUAUAAUGGUAUGAAAAGCAUAUGUAAAUCUGGGCUGUUUAACUUUAUACUAAGCUCACAUAUAUCACCAACAUAUGGAACACAACCGAGCAAUGAAUACUGUUGAUUAUCGAAAAAAUAUUGUAUGUACAAUGCCCAACUGAUGAAUCAACUAACAAUUGACUAAUUGGUUGUCGUUUAGGGAGUGGUCAUUAUUUAUGGGGAGGGGGGUUGGUAAAUGGGAGGGGGGCAAACAAAGUUUUACCCUUAUAAAUAGGGAGGGGUCAAAAAAGUUUUUGAACUAAAAUACAAUGUCUAGAGUUCUGAUUUCUAUAAUCACAAAUAGCAAAAGAAGACUCUGAAAAUUAUGCCAUUUCCAACAACCUAGAGACUGUAAAUUUUCAAAAUUUCCCCGCUCGGUGCCAACCAUGGUAGCGCCUCGUGGGAGUCAGGCCUACUAAGUUUAACAAGCUUCCUACCCCCUGAGUGACCCAGUUGUGGUAUUUACAUAAACAUACCAUGCAAGUACACUUAGCUGAUCAGAUUUGGUCUAUCAAAGCACAAUGUAACGCUGUAUAUCCCAAAAUCUGUUUCAGAAAAUGCUCACAUUUCAGUCCUAGGGGUGGAAAAUACAAAACAUUUUCUGGGGGAGAAUACCCCAGACCCCCCCUACUAGUACAUAUGAUACCACACCAAACUUUUUGUCACCAACAACCAUCUGGCAUCUCUCCACACUCAGUAUACAGUAGUAUGGUCCCUUCCCCCAGAUAAUAAUACAUAAUAUACACAUAAUAUACAGUCACAUAUAUAACACAUAAUAU